This 328-nucleotide unclassified non-coding RNA is filed under the name soil metagenome. Its description in RNAcentral is "partial contains 5.8S ribosomal RNA, internal transcribed spacer 2, and large subunit ribosomal RNA". The stretch from base 5 to 119 matches the Rfam family "5.8S ribosomal RNA", at positions 40 to 154 of the family's 154-position model. The record is from RNAcentral.
GAUGAGAACGUAGCGAAAUGCGAUAAGUAAUGUGAAUUGCAGAAUUCAGUGAAUCAUCGAAUCUUUGAACGCACAUUGCGCCCCUUGGUAUUCCGAGGGGCAUGCCUGUUCGAGCGUCAUUAUAACCCCUUAAGCUCAGCUUGGUGUUGGGGCCUGCUGCACUGGCAGCCCUUAAAAUCAGUGGCGGCGCCAUCUGGCUCUAAGCGUAGUAAUUCUUCUCGCUAUGGAGUCCUGGUGGAUGCUUGCCAUCAACCCCCAAUUUUUCUAUGGUUGACCUCGGAUCAGGUAGGGAUACCCGCUGAACUUAAGCAUAUCAAUAAGCGGAGGA